AUAUAUAUAUAUGUACGUUUAACUUUUUGUUUAUGUGUCUUUAUAUUUUUAUAUUUCUUAUAUUUCCGUAUAAAUUUUUUUUUUUUUUUUUUUAUUUCAAAAAAGUGAAAUCUAUGAAGUGUUAUUUUAUGCAAUCAUGGGUAUGUACACAUACAUAUACAUACAUACACACACAAAAAAAAAAAAAAAAAAAAAAUAUAAUUUGCAAAGGAGGGUUAUAUAUAAAAUGUAUUUGAACAGAUCAUAUAUUUUUUUUUUUUUUUUAUGAAGAAUCCUUAAAAUAUAUAUAUUUGUAAUUUCUUACAAUAUAUAUACUAAGUCAUAUUUGAGGAAGAUCAAAUAAAAAAAAAAAAAAAAAAUAAACAAAAAUAAUAAGAAAAGAACGUUAGUAUAUAAAUAAAUACAUACAUACAUACAAUACUAUAUAAUAAUAAUUUACUGUGUAUAUAUAUAUCUUUUGUUUUAUUUCAUUAUACAUAUAUAUAUAUAUAUAUAUAUAUAUAUAUAUAUAUAUAUUUAUAUAUUUAUAUAUUUAUAAUUUUUUUUUUUUCCUAAAAUGUAAUUAGUGUUUUAUAUCCAUAUAUUAUAAAAAAAAA
This is a non-coding RNA of Plasmodium reichenowi, 596 nucleotides long. The record is from RefSeq and is a predicted model, not a curated record. Lineage: Eukaryota; Apicomplexa; Aconoidasida; Haemosporida; Plasmodiidae.